UAUGGUAAUUGUGUGCCAGCCUCCGCUUUACUACGUAGGUAGCGAGCGUUGUCCGGAAUUACUGGGUGUAAAGGGAGCGUAGGCGGGAUGGCAAGUCAGAUGUGAAAACUAUGGGCUUAACCCAUAGACUGCAUUUGAAACUGCUGUUCUUGAGUGAGGUAGAGGUAAGCGGAAUUCCUGGUGUAGCGGUGAAAUGCGUAGAGAUCAGGAGGAACAUCGGUGGCGAAGGCGGCUUACUGGGCCUUUACUGACGCUGAGGCUCGAAAGCGUGGGGAGCAAACAGG
RNAcentral lists this ribosomal RNA (284 nucleotides) under Ruminococcus callidus. RNAcentral describes it as "partial 16S ribosomal RNA". It matches the Rfam family "Bacterial small subunit ribosomal RNA", at positions 492 to 776 of the family's 1533-position model. The record is from RNAcentral. Lineage: Bacteria; Bacillati; Bacillota; Clostridia; Eubacteriales; Oscillospiraceae.